This 481-nucleotide ribosomal RNA is filed under the name uncultured bacterium. RNAcentral describes it as "partial 16S ribosomal RNA". It matches the Rfam family "Bacterial small subunit ribosomal RNA", at positions 28 to 507 of the family's 1533-position model. The record is from RNAcentral.
GAUGAACGCUGGCGGCGUGCCUAACACAUGCAAGUCGAGCGAAGCGCUUAAAUUAGAUUUCUUCGGAAUGACGAUUUUUGUGACUGAGCGGCGGACGGGUGAGUAACGCGUGGGUAACCUGCCUCAUACAGGGGGAUAACAGUUAGAAAUGACUGCUAAUACCGCAUAAGACCCCAGCUUCGCAUGAAGCGGUGGUAAAAACUCCGGUGGUAUGAGAUGGACCCGCGUCUGAUUAGCUAGUUGGUAAGGUAACGGCUUACCAAGGCGACGAUCAGUAGCCGACCUGAGAGGGUGACCGGCCACAUUGGGACUGAGACACGGCCCAGACUCCUACGGGAGGCAGCAGUGGGGAAUAUUGCACAAUGGGGGAAACCCUGAUGCGGCGACGCCGCGUGAAGGAUGAAGUAUUUCGGUAUGUAAACUUCUAUCAGCAGGGAAGAAAGUGACGGUACCUGACUAAGAAGCCCCGGCUAACUACGUG